RNAcentral lists this ribosomal RNA (408 nucleotides) under uncultured bacterium. RNAcentral's name for it is "partial 16S ribosomal RNA". It matches the Rfam family "Bacterial small subunit ribosomal RNA", at positions 28 to 526 of the family's 1533-position model. The record is from RNAcentral.
GACGAACGCUGGCGGCGUGCUUAACACAUGCAAGUCGAACGGAGUGGCGAACGGGUGAGUAACACGUGGGUGAUCUGCCUUGCACUUCGGGAUAAGCUUGGGAAACUGGGUCUAAUACCGGAUAGUGCAAGAUGAGCUCGCGGCCUAUCAGAUUGUGGGUGGGGUAAUGGCCUACCAAGGCGUCGACGGGUAGCCGGCCUGAGAGGGUGUACGGCCACAUUGGGACUGAGAUAGGGCCCAGACUCGUACGGGGGGCAGCGGUGGGGAAUUUUGCACAAUGGGCGGAAGCCUGAAGCAGCGACGCCGCGUGGGGGAUGAAGGUCGUCGGGUUGUAAACUCUGUUCGACUGGAACGCGGUACCUGUAUAAGAAGCACCGGCUAACUACGUGCCAGCAGCCGCGGUAAUAC